This 601-nucleotide ribosomal RNA is filed under the name Inocybe flocculosa. Its description in RNAcentral is "eukaryotic LSU rRNA". The stretch from base 263 to 416 matches the Rfam family "5.8S ribosomal RNA". The record is from RNAcentral. Lineage: Eukaryota; Fungi; Basidiomycota; Agaricomycetes; Agaricales; Inocybaceae.
UGCGGAAAGGAUCAUUAUUGAAUAAACUUGAACAGGCUGUUGCUGGUCUCCUCUGGGGGAUUAUGUGCACGCUUGUCUCAUCUUUGUUAUUUCUCCAACACUGUGCACCUUUUGUAGACCCUGGAGCUUUCUGGAUUUUCUGAAAAUUCGAGUCAGGACUGCUGUUGCUGUAAAAAGUCCAGCUUUGCCUUGCAUUUCCAGGGUUCUAUGUCAUUUUUCACAAACCUCAUAUGUUUAGAAUGUUUGGAAAAUAUAAAUAUACAACUUUCAGCAACGGAUCUCUUGGCUCUCGCAUCGAUGAAGAACGCAGCGAAAUGCGAUAAGUAAUGUGAAUUGCAGAAUUCAGUGAAUCAUCGAAUCUUUGAACGCAUCUUGCGCUCCUUGGUAUUCCGAGGAGCAUGCCUGUUUGAGUGUCAUUUAACUUCUCAAACCACAUCAGAUUGAUGUUGGCUUGGAUGUGGGGGUUGUUUUUGCAGGCUUUCUUGUAGAAGGUCGGCUCCCCUGAAAUGAAUUAGUGGUAUCUGAGGCUACUACUGUGGGUGUGAUAACUAUCUAUGCCUUUGGUAUGCCGCAUGAACAGAUUACACCGCUUCUAACAAAA